Molecule: ribosomal RNA, 468 nt
Filed under: uncultured bacterium
Lineage: Bacteria
Description: partial 16S ribosomal RNA
Rfam family: Bacterial small subunit ribosomal RNA
Source: RNAcentral
GACGAACGCUGGCGGCGUGCUUAACACAUGCAAGUCGAACGGAAAGGCGCUGCUUUUGUGUGGUUCUCGAGUGGCGAACGGGUGAGUAACACGUGAGUAACCUUGCCGUGACGUUGGGAUAACUUCAGGAAACUGGGGCUAAUACCGGAUAGGAGCUCCUGCUACAUGGUGUGGGUUGGAAAGGUUCGGCGGUUUUGGAUGGACUCGCGGCUUAUCAGCUUGUUGGUGGGGUAGUGGCUUACCAAGGCUUUGACGGGUAGCCGGCCUGAGAGGGUGACCGGCCACCUUGGGACUGAGAUACGGCCCAGACUCCUACGGGAGGCAGCAGUGGGGAAUAUUGCACAAUGGGCGGAAGCCUGAUGCAGCAACGCCGCGUGUGGGAUGACGGCCUUCGGGUUGUAAACCGCUUUCGCCUGUGACGAAGCGUGAGUGACGGUAAUGGGUAAAGAAGCACCGGCUAACUACGUG